Molecule: ribosomal RNA, 513 nt
Filed under: uncultured bacterium
Lineage: Bacteria
Description: bacterial SSU rRNA
Rfam family: Bacterial small subunit ribosomal RNA
Source: RNAcentral
AAAGGAAUAGACGGGGGCCCGCACAAGCGGUGGAACAUGUGGUUCAAUUCGACGCUACGCGAAGAACCUCACCAGGGCUUGACAUGCAGGAAGUAGUGAACUGAAAAGGGAACUACCUGUCAAGUCAGGAGCCUGCACAGGUGCUGCAUGGCUGUCGUCAGCUCGUGUCGUGAGAUGUUGGGUUAAGUCCCGCAACGAGCGCAACCAUCAUCCUUAGUUGCAACGCUUUUUGCCGAAAGGUUGAAAGUGGCACUCUAAGGAGACUGCCCGCGAUAAGCGGGAGGAAGGUGGAGAUGACGUCAAGUCAGUACGGCCUUUAUGCCCUGGGCUACACACGUGUUACAAUGCUCACUACAAAGCGUUGCCAAGCCGCGAGGUGGAGCUAAUCGCAAAAAAGUGAGCUCAGUUCAGAUUGGAGUCUGCAAUCCGACUCCAUGAAGCCGGAAUCGCUAGUAAUGGCGGAUCAGCUACGCCGCCGUGAAUACGUUCCCGGGCCUUGUACACACCGCCCGU